Molecule: long non-coding RNA, 3467 nt
Filed under: Mus musculus (house mouse)
Lineage: Eukaryota; Metazoa; Chordata; Mammalia; Rodentia; Muridae
Description: long non-coding RNA chr11:100102643-100106110
Source: RNAcentral
GGCUUACCUUGCCCCCUUGAGCAUUACCAGAGACCUGGAUCAGAACGAAACUUCAAUGGCACUAGAUCAACUACCUUCAUCUUUGUAAGAGCCGCUCAGCUCUGAAAGUGUGUCAAGCCCUUCUCUCAGCCCAGCUCCAGGGUUCCCAAGAUCACUCACUUGCAGUCCUCCCCAUCCAGCAGGCGACGGUAGGUGGCAAUCUCUGACUCCAGCCGGGCCUUGACAUCCAGUAACACCUGAUACUCAUGGUUCUGCCGCUCCAGGUCACAACGAAUCUCAGCCAGCUGGGAUUCCACGUUGGUGAUCAGGCACUGCAUCUGGCCCAGCUGGGAGCUGUAGCGGGCCUCUGUCUCAGCCAGGGUAGAUUCCAGAGAAUUCCUCUAAAAUGGGGAAGAAAAGCUAUUGAGGGGAAGGAAUCCCACCCUAAAUACCCUGGCAUCCGCACACAGUUGUGGUUUGGCCCUGUGAUAACAAAUGGCCAGCACACUGGUAAGUCGGAGAGCCUUUAAUGGGCAGAGACCACCCACCAUGCUCUGUUGAGCCUGCAGCUCGAUCUCCAGGGAGUUGACUGUGCGUCUCAGCUCAAUGAUCUCUGUCUGGCAACACUGCAGCUGCUCUGAGCUGGAUACCACCUGCUGGUUCAGCUCCUCGGUCUACAGAGAAGGAGAGAAUGAAGAACAGGGACAGACCUAGGGCUCCUCAUUUAUCCCACCCACAGCCUGUAGUCCUGGAUCGCCAGCCUCACCUGAGUGUUGAACCAAGCCUCCACAUCUCUACGGUUAUUCUCCACCAGCGUCUCAUACUGGCAUCGCAUGUCAUCCAGUAUCUUGUUGAGAUCCACUGGGGGAGCAGCAUCCACCUCCACAUUCAGUCGGUCCCCAAGCUGGGAACGGAGGGCAUUGACUUCCUGCAGUGGCCAAGUAAGAUAGCAUGAGGCUGUGGAAAGGUUCCUGUGGCUUGGUAGGUUCAAUGACCUGGAUUCUAAACUCUCAUCCCUCUCUUGGGUACCAUGAGAUAAAAGAGCUGACCUCUUUGAACAUGCCCCCCCACACACACGCACACACACUCCAUUGGACUGUCUAUGCUAACCCCUACUGAGGAUUUGGGGGAUGACACAGCACCAAGCAAAUAGAAUUAUUAUCAGACACCAUAAUCCAAAUUCAGUUGCACCAUCCUGGGUGAGGGUGGACUCUCUGUGUGACUGCAGGCAAAUGACUUCACAUCUUUAUGACUAACUUCCCAGCUGUAAAAUGGAGCUUACGGUGGGAGCUAACUCUUAGAAUCAUGGUGAAGGUGAGACAGAUGUAAAGUGUUUCACAUCCUGCCAUACAAUAAGCCCAAGGGCCAGCAGGGAUUCCUCAGUGGGAUGGGAACCCCGGGGAUCACGUGGCAGCAACCUCACCUCUUCAUGGUUCCUCUUGAGACACAGCAGCUCCUCCUUCAGGGACUCAACCUGUGCCUCCAGGUCAGCCUUACACAAGGUCAGCUCAUCCAAGAUCCGGCGUAGACCAUUGAUGUCAGCCUCUACCAGCUGUCGCAGGGACAACUCCGUCUCAUACCUACACACACAGAACCCUGCCAAGUCUGCGGCCAGGGAAGCCCUGUGCCAUAGCUAACUUGGAGUCAGAAGCACAGUGGCCCUUUCUCAUGUCCCAGGAGGGACCCAGGGCCUCUGCUAUGUCUUCCCAUUUACAAUUGUAUCUGGCUUUAUUCCCUCCUCAUCAGCUCCCAAAGGUUUGACACAGAUUUGACACAGAUCAAACAUCUCCUGUUUGGGCUACUCACUUGGUCCGGAAGUCAUCAGCAGCCAGCUUGGCAUUGUCAAUUUGUAAUAUCAGCCUGGCAUUCUCAGACUUGGUCAGCAGGAUCUGAAAAACAAGAGGUUUUUUCCUGAACUGAGAAAGACCCAGAAUGCGAUGUGUAUGAAGUGGGGAAGCCAGCUCACAGAUGCCUCUAAAAACAGGCAAAGUCUCCCAUAUCCAGGCAUGGAGGGAGAUCAGGGCCUAGGAGGGACACCACACCACUGGCCCAUCAGUCCUGGUUUCUGUAGCUUCUGAGCCAGCCCAGUAGGCUAUAUCAGGGUGAGGCAGACUUGGUAACUGAUUCUGGAUCCCACGUUCAAGUUAUACGAUCUUGGGCAAGUUGCUAAGCCUCUCAAAAUUCAACCUUCUUAUGUUAGAUGGAUAUAGCAAUACCCGUAUCUCCAGGAUGAAGAGUAAGUAAGCCAAGGAGGUGUCAGAUACAGUACUACACCAAGUGGAGACAACGGAUAUGAUCCUUCCAUCCCUAAGCUAAGAUGAUGAAGCAAAUAGAAGAAUGGCUGGUAACAGAGUACACAGACCACCAGGGAAGCCUGAGUCCCCAGGGAACCAAGUCCCAGAGAGUAGAGCUCUCCUUCCAGAAUUCUCUGUAAGCUUCAGUUCCAUCUGGCUGAGUCUUAGAACGGAAAGCUUCCUGGAGGUGUCUGGCCAGCUGUAAGGACCUGGCCUAUUACCUUCUGCUGCAACUCCUCAGCAGUCUUGAAGUAGGACUGGUAGUCCGGGCAGAUGUAUGGGAUCUGACACUCGUACCACUCUCGGAUGCGGCACUCCAGCUGUGUGUUCUCCUGCUCCAGCUGCCGCACCUUCUCCAGGUAGUUGGCCAGUCGGUCAUUCAAGAUCUGCAUGGUCGCCUUCUCGUUGCCAUUGAAGGCGCCCUCGCAGAACCAUCCCCCGCUCCCAGCAAAGCCAGAGGAGUGGCACCCAGAGGACAGGUAGGAGCCUGGCAAGCAGCUCCCAGGGCCAGAGAAGCCUGUCCUGAAGGAGGACACGGACCCCACAGUGCCAACCAAACUGGGGGCCCUGCAGGAGCCCAUGGAAUGGAUGGAAGAUAUCCGAGAGAAGCUCCCUGAAGUGCCACAGAGGCCCUUGGCAGACCCAGCAGAGAAGGUCGGGGUGCAGAUCUGGGUGGCCAUGAUGCUAGCGAGGAAGGUUGCUGAAUAGGUAGGAUCCCAGGUUGUGGAUUCUCCAGGCCUCCCUGGGGUGCUUAUAUACAAUCUUCAUGGGGUGUUGGCAUGUUCUAUGUCUUUAGCUCUUGGGAAAGCCCUGUCCGGUCCCAGAAAGCCCAUCUCAUUACAAUGUCAUUUUUGCCAUCCAUCAGAAUUUCUUUCCUUGUAAAAGAAAAAAAAAAUGUUGAAUUGGGUUUGCUAAGUCAGGACUUUCAGCCUUCGUCAUUUCCUAGCAGACUGAAUUUUAUUGCCACUUCAAAGAGUCUUUGCCCAAGACCUCAUAAACUGGGAGUGGCCUUGCAUAUGACAUUUGGUUUCUGUCCUCCCUACCUGCCUCCCCCUGAGGAAGCCAUUCUACCCAUCCCCACUCCCACAGCUGUUCAUCUGAGCCUGGGCCACUAGAGCAACGAAAAGGGAGUGAAGGAUUCACGAUGGAAUAUGAUUCCGCUAUAAAGAAAAAAUAAAAAUAUAGAUUUUGCAG